CGGACAGGGGGGUUCCUGCUGAAUGGCAGGGCCUGUUCGAAGAGGUUGCGCGAACGCGUGGCCAGUGGUUGUCGCUCGGGGGUGAUCGCCG
RNAcentral lists this small RNA (91 nucleotides) under Streptomyces sp. CB02488. RNAcentral describes it as "che1 RNA". It matches the Rfam family "che1 RNA". The record is from Rfam by way of RNAcentral. Lineage: Bacteria; Bacillati; Actinomycetota; Actinomycetes; Kitasatosporales; Streptomycetaceae.